GAUGAACGCUGGCUACAGGCUUAACACAUGCAAGUCGAGGGGAAACGACGGGGAAGCUUGCUUCCCCGGGCGUCGACCGGCGCACGGGUGAGUAACGCGUAUCCAACCUGCCUCUGACUGAGGGAUAACCCGUCGAAAGUCGGCCUAAUACCUCAUGGCAUCGUCUGCGGGCAUCCAACGACGAUUAAAGAUUUCAUCGGUCAGAGAUGGGGAUGCGUCUGAUUAGCUUGUUGGCGGGGUAAAGGCCCACCAAGGCGACGAUCAGUAGGGGUUCUGAGAGGAAGGUCCCCCACAUUGGAACUGAGACACGGUCCAAACUCCUACGGGAGGCAGCAGUGAGGAAUAUUGGUCAAUGGGCGAGAGCCUGAACCAGCCAAGUAGCGUGCAGGAUGACGGCCCUAUGGGUUGUAAACUGCUUUUAUGCGGGGAUAAAGUGAGGGACGUGUCCUUCAUUGCAGGUACCGCAUGAAUAAGGACCGGCUAAUUCCGUG
This 491-nucleotide ribosomal RNA is filed under the name uncultured bacterium. Its description in RNAcentral is "partial 16S ribosomal RNA". It matches the Rfam family "Bacterial small subunit ribosomal RNA", at positions 28 to 507 of the family's 1533-position model. The record is from RNAcentral.